RNAcentral lists this ribosomal RNA (426 nucleotides) under uncultured bacterium. RNAcentral's name for it is "partial 16S ribosomal RNA". It matches the Rfam family "Bacterial small subunit ribosomal RNA", at positions 354 to 796 of the family's 1533-position model. The record is from RNAcentral.
GUCGAGAAUCUUGGGCAAUGCGCGAAAGCGUGACCCAGCAAUGCCGCGUGUAUGAUGAAGGCCCUCGGGUCGUAAAGUACUGUCUCCCGUGACGAAAUUUGACGGUAGCGGGGAAGGAAGCCACGGCUAACUACGUGCCAGCAGCCGCGGUAAUACGUAGGUGGCGAGCGUUGUUCGGAUUUAUUGGGCGUAAAGGGUCUGUAGGAGGUUUGUUAAAUACGGGGUGAAAUCCCGAAGCUCAACUUCGGAAUUGCCUUGUAGACUGACGGACUGGAGUACCGGAGAGGUAAGCGGAAUACCAGGUGUAGCGGUGGAAUGCGUAGAUAUCUGGUAGAACACCAAAAGCGAAGGCAGCUUGCUGGACGGAAACUGACUCUGAAAGACGAAAGCAUGGGGAGCAAACAGGAUUAGAAACCCCGGUAGUCC